CCAAUAGCGUAUAUUAAAGUUGUUGCAGUUAAAAAGCUCGUAGUUGAAUUUCGGGGUUAGUAGGUUGGUCAUGCCUCUGGUAUGUACUGGUCUCACUGAUUCCUCCUUCCUGAUGAGCCGUAAUGCCAUUAAUUUGGUGUUGCGGGGAAUUUGGACUGUUACUUUGAAAAAAUUAGAGUGUUUAAAGCAGGCUAACGCUUGAAUACAUUAGCAUGGAAUAAUGAAAUAGGACGUUCGAUCCUGUUUUGUUGGUUUCUAGGAUUGACGUAAUGAUUAAUAGGGAUAGUUGGGGGCAUUAGUAUUCAAUUGUCAGAGGUGAAAUUCUUGGAUUUAUUUAAGACUAAAUACUGCGAAAGCAUUUGCCAAGGAUGUUUUCAUUAAUCAAGAACGAAAGUUAGGGGAUCGAAGACGAUCAGAUACCGUCGUAGUCUUAACCAUAAACUAUGCCGAAUAGGGAUCGGAUGAUGUUAAUUUUUUAAUGACUCAUUCGGCGCCUUACG
Molecule: ribosomal RNA, 500 nt
Filed under: uncultured Glomeromycotina
Lineage: Eukaryota; Fungi; Glomeromycota
Description: partial small subunit ribosomal RNA
Rfam family: Eukaryotic small subunit ribosomal RNA
Source: RNAcentral